AAAGUGAUAAAUAGAUUUUCUAUGUAUGAUUUCGGCUCAUAAAGAUUUUUCAUUUUU
This 57-nucleotide transfer RNA is filed under the name Gnathostoma sp. MMS-2017. RNAcentral describes it as "tRNA-Arg". Lineage: Eukaryota; Metazoa; Nematoda; Chromadorea; Rhabditida; Gnathostomatidae. The record is from RNAcentral.